Molecule: long non-coding RNA, 2751 nt
Filed under: Marmota monax (woodchuck)
Lineage: Eukaryota; Metazoa; Chordata; Mammalia; Rodentia; Sciuridae
Source: RNAcentral
UGAUAAAGCUAUGCCCUUCCAUUUCACCUUUUCCUUUUGGAUUGCCAUAUCUCAAAAGUUUACACCAAUCAAACCUUAUUUCUUAGAUGUAAGACCUAUCUGUUCUCAUUUGAGGGGAUCAUGAAACUAAUCCAGUUAUACCAGAGAAUACAGGAAAAGAGGAUGCACAAGAGGAACCAGCAUCUCAUCUGUGAAAACAAUAGGUGGUGUAGCUGUCAGUGUCAAAGUAUGUAUUUCAGGUGACUGAUUUAAAUAUUUCUCUUUGUUGAGAAAUGAACCUGACCUUCCCCUGGAAUCUGAACACAGAUUUAGCCUUACUAAACAAAAAUGGAAGGACAAAUGGAAUAAAUGUAUACAAACUCAAAAUUAUAGGGAUUAAAUCCUUCCAAUUGUUUUCUACUAAGAUAUGUACUAUGGCUUUUUUUUGUUUUUACUUUGCCUUUGCCACUGAAUCUCUCAGGGCCCUUCUUUGCUUCUCUGAUGGAAUAUUGCUGAGCUUUCCAUCAGUCUGCAUCUUUGCAUUGGUAUAUGUACCCUUGUCUGUUUUAUUUAUGGUCAUUGGACACAUAGUCUCAGAUUUGUAAAAUGAACAGCAUGUUUCACAAAACCUAUUCACUAAGUUCCUUUAUUUACUUUCAGUCACAUGAUUGUUGUCAGCCAAAAGCAGCCAGCACAUAAACCCAGGAAAUAGAGUAGUUUUGUGCACAGCUAACCAUGGACCUCAGCUCUAUGUUGAGACAUCAGUAAUAUAGGAGUUGUUUUGUCCUCUUCACCUUUGAGAAUAUAUCCUCUUUGUGUUUCAGCCUCACGGGACUCAUCUGCUGGCAUAAAGGUAAUUAAAGUUCUAUAUUUAUACUAAAUUAUAAUUUUGUAGUGAAUGAAGUAUACAUUCUUAUGUACUAUAUUCUUUCCAAGCAUACUGAGCCCACUAUCACAGUGCCCCUUCCAUGGAAAGGACUAGGCAAGGUGAAAGAAAAGAUAGUAAAAUCAGGUAAGUUUUGCAUUACAACAUUCUGGGGAAAUACUAUGUUAAAACAAUUGAAAUGCUAGCAGCCUUCCCACAUGUAAGGUUGUUUUCCCAAUGAGGUGGGAGGAUUUGCCCCACAAUGUCAGUCAUUAGUUACAGCAAAUUAUCUCUUUUCUGUGUUUCUGGGAACAUCCUCUCCAUUCUGAACUGCUUCUCCUCUAUUUUAUACUGUUACAUUCUCCCUGUUUCCAGCAUUUGGAGUGAUCUAGCUACCAUGAAAAUGUCACCGUAAGCCUCUCUUUAGAGUGUGAAAGACCAACCUUUUAAAUUUUUUUAGAAAUUUUUCCUAAUAAGUGCUGUGCCUCAUUCUGUAUCUUUAUGCCUUUCCCUUACGUCCACUGUCCUCUGGCAUUAGUCCUCACCAAUUCUUCAUUAAGACAAAUACUGACCUACAGCAUUUCAUGUUCUUACUAUCUCCUGCUCUCUGGAUAGUCACCUCUCACCUGUCUCUGUGAGAGGUGAGUAGCCAGAAAAACCACCAUUCCUGGCACCUUUUCCCUGCCUUCUUAGGUCCCAGUGCGCUUCAGCUUGUUACAUUGGCUGUCAGACACAUAGGUUCUCCUUUGCCCUUCCCCCAGAAGUCCCGUGGGUAGAGUCUAAUCUGUAUCAGUUUCUACCACAUUUCAUCAGGCACAACUUAGGUCCCUUGAAAGGCACUGUCAUGAUCCGUGUGUGUGUGUGUGUGUGUGUGUGUUUAGAGAAACUGAACCAAAGAAACUACUGUGGCACUCUUGCCUGAGAAUGGCUACAGCCUCAGCACUUCCAUCACCCACUGAGAGAACAGCAUGCUUUUUAAGCACCAGUGCAUAGUGCAGUCUUUUUGACAGAUCAGUUUAGGCAGCAUUUUUGAUCUCAGGUUUCUCCUUAACAGGACACACCAUGGCACAACUUAGAAUGCAACUUUUUCUCCUCUCCCUCCCUUGGUCAGAGGCAGACCUGCUUUGGUGUUUAAAUGCAGAUUGUGGGCUUUCUUUGUUCAUGGUACAGAUUUCUGGAUCCCUAAGACCUUCUGAGUGUCCAGAAUUUCUAGGGAUUUGAAUAAAUUCCCUCUUUCACUCACCUUUCUAAGAAGCUCUUCACCCACUUUUUUCAUCUCUAUGUGAUGGUGCAGCUUAGAAUGCAGCUUACUCUAUGCCAACAUUUUCCCAGAAUCAGCCCUUUUUUCCAUGUAGAUUUUGAAGUUUGUUUCUGAGCAAAUUUCAUUGAUCAUGAGUAGAUGAAUAUUGGCAAUAUAGUGUGCAUUGAACCCGGUAUCCAGUCAUGCCUCUACAAGGAGUUGGUUGAUGAUUUGAAUAAGAAAAAUACUCCCUGAAGAACUCAGUGUUUGUUGGGUGCAAAUGAGCACAUCUUUAUUCACAGCUUCUUAGAAGUCCAAGACUGAAGAAUGGCUGUGUUCAUUCCAGUCAGAGGACUCCGAAUGCCAAUUAAAACAGCCAUGGGAUAGAAAUAAGGGGUAGAGAAUUUCACAAGAAUGCACAAGUCCCUCUGUCCACUCCCAAGGUGCAUACACAAAGAAAGAAAAAGAAAAAAGAAAAACUGUGGAAAGAUGAAACCAGUAAUUAUUCACCUAACAUUAAACUUAAUUGGAAAGCAUAUUUGGGAAUAUUAAGUUGUAUUGGUGUUACAAUUACUUCUUUGUAUUUGGAUUGACAUACCCUCUUUCUAACUCAGUUCUAAGGAAUGUGAGUAAAUGUAUUCAUUUGUCAGCAGAGACUCAUUUUGAC